AUUGAACGCUGGCGGCAGGCUUAACACAUGCAAGUCGAGCGGGGUGAUGGUGCUUGCACUAUCACUUAGCGGCGGACGGGUGAGUAAUGCUUAGGAAUCUGCCUAUUAGUGGGGGACAACACCUCGAAAGGGAUGCUAAUACCGCAUACGUCCUACGGGAGAAAGCAGGGGAUCACUUGUGACCUUGCGCUAAUAGAUGAGCCUAAGUCGGAUUAGCUAGUUGGUGGGGUAAAGGCCUACCGAGGCGACGAUCUGUAGCGGGUCUGAGAGGAUGAUCCGCCACACUGGGACUGAGACACGGCCCAGACUCCUACGGGAGGCAGCAGUGGGGAAUAUUGGACAAUGGGGGGAACCCUGAUCCAGCCAUGCCGCGUGUGUGAAGAAGGCCUUAUGGUUGUAAAGCACUUUAAGCGAGGAGGAGGCUCUUUUGGUUAAUACCCAAGAUGAGUGGACGUUACUCGCAGAAUAAGCACCGGCUAACUCUGUGCCAGCAGCCGCUGUAA
Molecule: ribosomal RNA, 503 nt
Filed under: uncultured bacterium
Lineage: Bacteria
Description: partial 16S ribosomal RNA
Rfam family: Bacterial small subunit ribosomal RNA
Source: RNAcentral